AUUUCAUCAACAUUAAUUAGACAAGACAAAUGCUACUCUUCAAUUGUUGGCUGACAUAACUCUGGAAAUAUGCUAAAAACAACAAAAAAAGAAAAGGUGAUUUCUGUUCAAUUCUCUUUGCUAGUGCCAAAUAGUGUAUCAAAAUUCAUUCUACUAUGAAUUACCUAAAGAGGAGAAGCCGCGUAAAAUACGCGAAAAAUCAGGGAAAAGACCAGAAAAGAAAGAUGCAGAAUAGUUAGAUAAACAGUAUUCAACACCAAUAAUGUUAAAUUCAAUUGUAUGGCACAAAAUUCUCUGUUAUAUUACUUAAGACUUCAGCUGCAAGAUAUGAAUAUAAAUAUAAAUAUUUUCACUAUAUAUGUGCCUUCUUAUUUAUUCCAAACAAGAUAGGAAUAAACAAUGACAUGUUGACAUUACUAAA
RNAcentral lists this unclassified non-coding RNA (421 nucleotides) under Hevea brasiliensis (rubber tree). The record is from RNAcentral. Lineage: Eukaryota; Viridiplantae; Streptophyta; Magnoliopsida; Malpighiales; Euphorbiaceae.